UGCAUUCGGUGGGAUCGACUGCUCAGUGUGGGAUUUGGUGAGGGGAAGGCAUGCGGCUUACAGAGAGGAGGAGAGAUAGAGGGGGAGGGAGAGAGCGUUCUGCAGCACGCUUGCAGUUUUCGUUCAGAUCCAGGUUCUGUGCAAGGAAGGGGACAUAUGAAUCCUGCUCUUGAUGAUUCAAUAUGUCAUCAAACAUUACUUAGGCUUCUAAUUUCAUACAGAAAUCGAAAACCCAUUUGGGAUGUCUUAUCUGGUCACUUCUCUCUAUGGUGGUCCCUUAGAGUUUACGUUUAUUGUGCAAAGCACAGAAGACCCUGCUUAUCAGGCUGUAUCUAUGCUACUAACAGAGCUUAAGGACGAGGUUGAUGUUAAGAUUGUUGUGGCUGGUAUUUCAACAACCUGCAGUCAGAAAAAUCACAACCAAUUGCAAAAAACCUUGCGGCGAGCAAACAGGCACAACCAAUUCUGCCAGAAUUGCUGGAGAAUUCCACAACCAAGGUCAUCGAGUACGGCCGGAAGCAUGUUGAGGGUCGAGAUGGCGAAAGCACCAAUGUUGGCAAGAGCUGCGACCCAGUCUUCACUGAUUUGAAGUUUGAGUUUGUUUGUGAUUUUUUUUUUCUUUUGGAUUUGUAAUUUAUCCUUUUGUACCUGACAAUUUGUGAUCCAAAAUUUUUUUCGCGCGUUUUGAUUUUCCUGUGAAUUUAUAUGGGUUUAGAUUUUUAUUGUUAAUUUACUGAUGUUGGGGGAUCAUUUUGGCUUCUAGAUUGGUUUGAACAUUUUUCUGUCUUUGUUUUUUCUUUUGUGAAGUUUUAGUCAGAUUGAAGUGUUCUUUUCAAUUUGAGAUUUAAUUGAAGUGUUUAGGAUUAUCUACAUAUAUAUAAUCAAUGUUGAAAUUUUAAACUAAAUCACUAUGCUGCAAUCAAACCCACAGAUUGUUGGGUCCAAAAGAAGAAGAAGAAGGCGUGAACAACAUGAAAUUGGCUUUGGAAAAGCCAAAGACAUUCUCGACGAUGAUGAUAAUGGAGUUCAGGAUUAUGAUUCAUCCCGAACAACAAGGAUGGAUAUGCUGUCUAUGCCAACAUGGGGGUAAGGCUAUGUUGGAGCAAAAACUGUGCAGGCAAAGACAUAAGAGUGAUGGAUUUUGGAAUGAAAUGCAGAGGAUAUCAUUUUGUGCUGCUUAAGGGUCUAUAUGCACAGGAGAGCUCAGCAUGAGGGUGCUGUUGGUUUACCUUGCCUGGAUGUGUUGCGUUGCGGGGUUGUUCAAGAAAAAAGGUUUUAAAGGAUCCUUUGCAGAUGCAGGAUCUUCUGCUAAGACAUUUGCAGUUUUGUCCGGAUUGUGUGAGCCGUUGCUUCAGCCAAAACAGGUGCUCGCUCCAUUUUUCAUCUCUUCCAUACUCAAACCCUAGCCGCUUCACCUCUCUCUCCCACACAUAAGCAAACUCCAUUUGAAAGCCGUAGAAUCCAAAGGAACAACAGGGAUUGUAGACUACACAAACUUGGAAGAUAUGAAGUACGCGAUCAAAAAGCUUGAUGGCUCUGAGUUUUGAAAUGCUUUUGACCGCCAAUCUGUUCGCGUAUGAAUCUUACAAGUUGAAAAUUUAUUUUCUUUCCUCCUGUAUUUUUGUUUAUCUGUUGCUCUGUUGGGUUUUUUUCCAAUAACUCAAAGGGCCGAAAGGUAUUCCCUUUUCAUAUUCUUCUCUCCCAAUUUCUUUAGAGUUAAUUUCAAUUUUCUUAUGCUAUUUGCCGGGGUGCUGUUUAGGGUUUAACUAUUUGAUUUCACAGAUUCAUUUCAGACACGGUUGGUGAAGGACAUGGGGAGAAGAGCACUUUGGAAAUGGUAAGGUGCACAAAUAUGGAAAAAGCACGACAGGGGAAAGCUGGGAUAUUGUUGUGGAUGAGGAGACCUAUUACGAGGCUGAGCUGUCAAUUAAACCUCGAGAAAGGCCACAUGGCGUCUACCCUGCCCUUGAUUUUGGAUCGUCGUCGCUUUCAGUUGAUGAACCACCAGAUGAAUUUUCUCUAAUAUCGUGCGGCUCAAAAAAAUUUGUAUGUGUUUACGUGUAUUUUUGUGCUCUGAAUAAUUCUAAUCAAAUUCCAUUGCUCUCCUAAGCUAAAGUCAGAAUUUGUAGCAUAUAAGGGAAGGUUAGCAGAUACUUGCCAAUUAUCCAAAGCUGGAUAUUAAGGUCUUUAAGCUUAAUAUCUUUUUGUAGGUGUAGCAUCUGCUUGGAAAAAGGUUUCAACUUUAAUGUCUGUACGUGUCAUUACUCUUCAUUGAUUGUGAAGAACCAGGAUUAAAGAAAAGCAUCCUUUAAAGUUUAAACUGGAAGGGGGCAGGUUAUAAAUUACAGGUGAAAUGAAAUUAGAAAUAUAUAGUCUUAUGAUUUGUGUCUAAAAACAUAAUAAAUGAUAUUAGAUCCAUCCAUGUUAAUAAUAAGAUUGUUAUUUA
Long non-coding RNA from Pyrus x bretschneideri (Chinese white pear), 2446 nucleotides. RefSeq lists it as uncharacterized. The record is from RefSeq and is a predicted model, not a curated record. The transcript is spliced from 15 exons. NCBI's taxonomy places the organism in Eukaryota, Viridiplantae, Streptophyta, Magnoliopsida, Rosales, Rosaceae.